GAAGUGUGCCCGAGAACCAGGGAUUACUUUGAUAGAGUAAACACAGAGCCACACGACCUCUCACUUCUA
Molecule: transfer RNA, 69 nt
Filed under: Agama agama (Red-headed rock agama)
Lineage: Eukaryota; Metazoa; Chordata; Lepidosauria; Squamata; Agamidae
Description: tRNA-Ile
Source: RNAcentral